CGAAUUGUGGUAUGUAAUGUGAAUUGCAGAAUUCAGUGAAUCAUCGAAUCUUUGAACGCACAUUGCA
This 67-nucleotide ribosomal RNA is filed under the name uncultured Clavariaceae. RNAcentral's name for it is "partial 5.8S ribosomal RNA". It matches the Rfam family "5.8S ribosomal RNA", at positions 49 to 115 of the family's 154-position model. From Rfam's summary of the family: 5.8S ribosomal RNA (5.8S rRNA) is a component of the large subunit of the eukaryotic ribosome. It is transcribed by RNA polymerase I as part of the 45S precursor that also contains 18S and 28S rRNA. The record is from RNAcentral. Lineage: Eukaryota; Fungi; Basidiomycota; Agaricomycetes; Agaricales; Clavariaceae.